CCAGAAAUGAAAUUUCAGUUCAAGUUUGGCACUAAAAAUGAUAGAAUUUUUAUAUGCCCCAGGCAGUAAUAUUGCUUAUAAAUUUAUACCAUACGCCACUUUAACUUAAACUUUUUUUUUUUUUUAUUAAGGGGACUGAUCGGAGUCAAACCAUAUGCUGUGGCUUUUGCUCCAUGGAAAUCUCAACUAUACUGCAAGAAUAAUUAUUCCUACUUAAUGAAGUUACAGAAGAGAAUGUGGUGCUGGACGCUUUUCAGACCACAAGGAAGACUGACAUGCUUUUUUAUCAUGGUAACAGGUACUGACUGCAUGGGGAGAGGCCAUACCACAGAAACCUCAAUCUGCCUGAGCCGUGACUCUGAGAGCUGGAGUACCACUGGACAAGGUGAGGGGAGCUUUUGCUUGUUUACUCAGAAAUAUUUUCUAAAUUACCUGUUUGUGUUAUUUAGGAGGGCAGGAUUGGGGAAUGCCACUUUGACCUGAUUUUUACAGAAUAAACUCCUUGCGUAGCGUUAUAAUAAUCAGAAUAACUAGAUAGGCUCUUUUAGGCAAGGUUGGGCAAACUUUCUAUAUUCUGACUCCUCUUGUUGUUUUCUUCCCAAACAUUUGAAAGAAAACACAUUACAGUUUACAAAAAAAUCCCUCAUUCUGCCUUGUGUUGGUUCCACCUCCCCUAAAAAUAGAAUUUUAUGAUGCUCAAUCUAAUUUCUUUUCAAGACCAUUUAUUUAAUAAGAAGAAUGUUCUCCUGGCCUGAGAUGCAAUAUAAGUGAGUAUGUAUUUUUUUUCAUAGAGUUAAUGUUUACGGCAGAGGGCUAAAGCAUUGAAAAUAAGGAACUGAAAUGGAAACUCUGACAUCACUUUAACGGCAGUCCUGCUGCCUUACUGGGGAGAAAAAUAUUAGCUCUUGUCUAACUUACCUUUUCCAUAAGGUGUAAAAAGCACCCUAUACAGAGGGAGUAUAUGAAACCCAUAGCUAGUCUGAUUGCUUGCAUGCUAUUCAUAUACACGCCCGUUGUAAGCUGGCACUGGGUGAACCCGCUGAUUCUAACCAUAUGGCUGCCUGCAGAAGUGCA
Molecule: long non-coding RNA, 1074 nt
Filed under: Homo sapiens (human)
Lineage: Eukaryota; Metazoa; Chordata; Mammalia; Primates; Hominidae
Description: non-protein coding lnc-ALX1-2:4
Source: RNAcentral